AUUGAACGCUGGCGGCAUGCUUUACACAUGCAAGUCGAACGGUAACAGGCCGCAAGGUGCUGACGAGUGGCGAACGGGUGAGUAAUGCAUCGGAACGUGCCCAGUCGUGGGGGAUAACUACUCGAAAGAGUAGCUAAUACCGCAUACGAUCUAUGGAUGAAAGCGGGGGACCGUAAGGCCUCGCGCGAUUGGAGCGGCCGAUGUCAGAUUAGGUAGUUGGUGGGGUAAAGGCUCACCAAGCCAACGAUCUGUAGCUGGUCUGAGAGGACGACCAGCCACACUGGGACAGAGACACGGGCCAGACUCCCAAGGGGGGCAGCAGGGGGGAAUUUUGGAAAAAGGGCGGAAGCCUGAUCCAGACAAGCCGGGGGGGGGAAAAAGGCCUUUGGGUUGUAAAGCUUUUUUUUUAGGAAAGAAAACGGCUAGGGUAAAACCCCGGGGGUAUGACGGGAACCGAAAAAAAAGCCCCGGGCAAAUUAGGG
This 482-nucleotide ribosomal RNA is filed under the name uncultured bacterium. RNAcentral describes it as "partial 16S ribosomal RNA". It matches the Rfam family "Bacterial small subunit ribosomal RNA", at positions 29 to 507 of the family's 1533-position model. The record is from RNAcentral.